UAAAUUAAUUUAAAAUAAAAGUAAAAUUUAAUGUAUGUAAAUGCCUAUCUUAAUUACUUAAGUACAACCCCUUUCUCAUUUUUCAGCAAACACAAAUUUGGAGCAACGAAUAACUCUUUUGGAAAGUAACCAACAACUUAUUUUGGAUAAUCAAAACCAAAUUUUACAAAAAUUGGGAAACGUAGAGCAAAGCAAUUUGACUGCAACAAGCUGGAAAAAAUGAAAAAAAAAUGUUCCAGAUAACAAGCUGAAAAGAUCGUUCCCAAUACCUAGCAUUAACGAGAUGAAGGAAAUGGAAUCUGCAUGCAGCGAGAAUUCAGAGCAUUAUAUUUCCAUAAUUAAAACCCUUAUUGCACCUGAAGGUUUAGCAAAAAACAACGAUUGACAGAAAAGUCAUCCUAAUGAUGAAUUAUGAUGGCGUCAAUAACAAAAUUUCAUUUAAGCAAUACAAGGCCUUCAAUAAUGCGAUAUUUGGUAAAAUACAGUUAAUUUUGUAUGGAAAUUUAUAACUAAUCAACAUAUUUCUUUGCAGAAGCGCUUAAAAAGAA
This is a long non-coding RNA of Rhagoletis zephyria (snowberry fruit fly), 548 nucleotides long. RefSeq lists it as uncharacterized. NCBI's taxonomy places the organism in Eukaryota, Metazoa, Arthropoda, Insecta, Diptera, Tephritidae. The record is from RefSeq and is a predicted model, not a curated record.